This 76-nucleotide transfer RNA is filed under the name Planctomycetota bacterium. Its description in RNAcentral is "Planctomycetes bacterium (freshwater sediment metagenome) tRNA-Ala". It matches the Rfam family "tRNA". Rfam says of the family: Transfer RNA (tRNA) molecules are approximately 80 nucleotides in length. Their secondary structure includes four short double-helical elements and three loops (D, anti-codon, and T loops). The record is from RNAcentral. Lineage: Bacteria; Pseudomonadati; Planctomycetota.
GGGGACGUAGCUCAAUUGGGAGAGCGCCGCGUUCGCAAUGCGGAGGUUGCCGGUCCGAUCCCGGUCGUCUCCACCA